Molecule: long non-coding RNA, 1535 nt
Organism: Centruroides sculpturatus (bark scorpion)
Lineage: Eukaryota; Metazoa; Arthropoda; Arachnida; Scorpiones; Buthidae
Exons: 3
Source: RefSeq, a predicted model, not a curated record
UUCUUUCGCUCGUGAAUUGUGUGCUUUUUUUUUUUUGCUGUUUGCGGACUUUUCGAAAGAAGAUUAAAGAUUCUUUAGGUAAAUCUUAGUCCAUAUUGACCCUAGACGUAAGAAUUUAUAUAAUAUUACUUAGAGAAUCGGUCCCAGAAGACAUCUCGGCCCAUCGUUCGAUGAUCGGCCGUUUUCGUUUUCGAUUAGAAUCUUUUAAAUUUAAUUAAAAAGGGAACUGCGAAUGGAGAUGGAGUGGCUCCGGAGGAGAUUCCGACGGAGGAACGCGGUGGCGCCGGAGGAAGGGAGUUCCUCGGACGGCUCUGACGAGACGUUCGAGGACCCGGGGCUCGACUGCGUCUCUGCCGAAUCGAUUAGUAUGGCGUCGUUUGAGACCGUCGAGCGAGAGGCAGCGGGUGGUAACGACCUUCCCCGAGUGCGUGUGGUGUGGCACUCUCCCGGAGGCGGGAGAGUUCUGAGUCCAUUCCACUUGGCCAAGGUCGUCAGGGGUCAGUCGGCCACAGGCCUUGUUGUGGAAGAUGUAGGGAGUGAUGUCUCGUCCGAGUCUUCUUCUUGGAGUACGAUAUCGCUCCCUCUUGUCGGGAGUUCUGCCUCUUUGUCCGUGACGGGGAUGCCAUCGCUUUCCGGAAGUCCGAACGGGGAGGAAUCGGAGGAGAGUGCCGUCGGAGUCGAGGGACCGUGGUGUCUGCGGUUCUGUUGCUGAGGGUGGCUGCGGUUCCUUUGGCCUAAGCGGUGAUCCUCUUCGAUUUUUCCCAAUUCGUCCUUCUUCACUCGGAUGGGACAUUCUUACCGGAUUCGACACUUUUCACCCGGACUCGACACCUUUUCCCGGACAUGACCGUCUCUUACCAGGAUGCGACCCCACGGACUUGUCUGCCGAACGUGACACUCGGUCGACGACGACGGAUUUGACUCCCGAUUGUGACGACGCAGACGUGACACAAUCGGGUUUUUUUUCACCGGACGCGACAUUCGGCCGACCUUUCUUCCUAAACAGGCAUUAUGAGGAUUGAGCUUUCGGUUAGGUUAGGUUAGGCUAGGUUAAGUCCUUUGCUCUUCUCAUGACACUGUUCGGGAAAAAAGAUUGUCUGAUAAAGGUAGUUAUGUUGACCUUAGAUAAUAAAUGAAUGAACUUCUCGCUUUCUCACUGUCUUUGUGUUUUGUAGGAACAUUUGGGAGGGAGAAUCUCCCUCCCCAAGUUUACCACGAAGAGGAUGACUUGGCCAUUCAUCAUACAAGUGAAUAUUUUCCGAAAUUUCCGAUAACAUGCCGAAGAUGUUCUUGGACAUCACACAAAUAUAUACACACACACACGGACAUAACAUCAUUGUACAUGAAGGUAUAUACACCGUUUAAUCUUUACUCGAAUUCUCGCACUCACGCACUUACACGUCAAGCGCCUGGUUCUCUGUAAUUCGACACAAUGAAACAACCCGAACACUCGCUUCCCACAAAUCCAACCCCUGGGUCCUCGUCCCGGAAAGUGGAAACGCCAAUUUUAAAGACUAAAAGCUUUAAAUUGGCGG